AGUUCGAUCCUGGCUCAGGAUGAACGCUGGCGGCGUGCUUAACACAUGCUAGUCGAACGAAGCGCUCCGGACGAUUCUUUCGGGAUGAGACUGGAGGGACUGAGUGGCGGACGGGUGAGUAACGCGUGGGUAACCUGCCUCAUACAGGGGGAUAACAGUCAUAAAUGGCUGCUAAUACCGUAUAAGCGCACAGUACCGCAUGGUACGGUGUGAAAAACUCCGGUGGUAUGAGAUGGACCCGCGUCUGAUUAGCUGGUUGGCAGGGUAACGGCCUACCAAGGCGACGAUCAGUAGCCGGCUUGAGAGAGUGGACGGCCACAUUGGGACUGAGACACGGCCCAGACUCCUACGGGAGGCAGCAGUGGGGAAUAUCGCACAAGUGGGGGAAACCCUGAUGCACCGACGCCGCGUGAGUGAAGAAGUAUUUCGGUAUGUAAAGCUCUAUCAUCAGGGAAGAUAAUGACGGUACCUGACUAAGAAGCCCCGGCUAACUACGUGCCACCAGCCGCGGUAAUACGUACGGGGCAAGCGUGAUCCGGAAUUACUGGGUGUAAAGGGUGCAUACGUGGUGCGGCAAGUCAUAAGUGAUAGCCCGUGGCUCAUAUCCGGGACUGCUUUCGAGACUGUCAGACUGGAGUGCAGGAGAGGUAAGCGGAAUCCCUACUGUAGCGGUGGAAUGCGUACAUAUUAGGAGGAACACCAGUGGCGAAGGCGGCUUACUGGACCGUCACUGACACUGAGGCACGAACGCGUGGGGAGCACACAGGAUUAGAUACCCUGGUAGUCCACGCCGUAGACGAUGAAUACUAGGUGUCGGGGCCGCAGAGGCUUCGGUGCCGCAGCAGACGCAGUAAGUAUUCCACCUGGGGAGUACGUUCGCAAGAAUGAAACUCAAAGGAAUUGACGGGGACCCGCACAAGCGGUGGAGCAUGUGGUUUAAUUCGAAGCAACGCGAAGAACCUUACCUGGUCUUGACAUCCUCCGGACCGGCCCGUAACGGGGCCUUUCCUUCGGGACUGGAGAGACAGGUGGUGCAUGGUUGUCGUCAGCACGUGUCGUGAGAUGUUGGGCCAAGUCCCGCAACGAGCGCAACCCUUAUCUUUAGUAGCCAGCAUUUUGGAUGGGCACUCUAGAGAGACUGCCAGGGAUAACCUGGAGGAAGGUGGGGAUGACGUCAAAUCAUCAUGCCCCUUAUGGCCAGGGGUACACACGUGGUACAAUGGUGGUAACAGAGUGAGGCAAACCCGCGAGGGGGAGCAAAUCACAAAACCGCCAUCUCAGUUCGGAUUGUAGUCUGCAACUCGAAUACAUGAAGCUGGAAUCGCUAGUAAUCGCGAAUCAGAAUGUCGCGGUGAAUACGUUCCCGGGUCUUGUACACACCGCCCGU
This 1387-nucleotide ribosomal RNA is filed under the name uncultured bacterium. RNAcentral's name for it is "16S ribosomal RNA". It matches the Rfam family "Bacterial small subunit ribosomal RNA". The record is from RNAcentral.